RNAcentral lists this ribosomal RNA (1404 nucleotides) under uncultured bacterium. Its description in RNAcentral is "16S ribosomal RNA". It matches the Rfam family "Bacterial small subunit ribosomal RNA". The record is from RNAcentral.
AGAGUUUGAUCCUGGCUCAGGAUGACCGCUAGCGGCAGGCUUAACACAUGCAAGUCGAGGGGCAGCGGGGAGGAAGCUUGCUUUCUCCGCCGGCGACCGGCGCACGGGUGAGUAACACGUAUGCAACCUGCCCCUGUCAGGGGGACAACCCGCCGAAAGGCGGGCUAAACCCGCGUACAUGCCACCGGGGCAUCCCGGAGGCAGGAAAGGCUUCGGCCGGACAGGGAUGGGCAUGCGGCGCAUUAGGCAGUAGGCGGGGUAACGGCCCACCUAACCGACGAUGCGUAGGGGUUCUGAGAGGAAGGUCCCCCACACUGGUACUGAGACACGGACCAGACUCCUACGGGAGGCAGCAGUGAGGAAUAUUGGUCAAUGGUCGGGAGACUGAACCAGCCAAGCCGCGUGAGGGAGGAAGGUACAGAGUAUCGUAAACCUCUUUUGUCAGGGAACAAAGGCGGGGACGUGUCCCCGGAUGAGUGUACCUGAAGAAAAAGCAUCGGCUAACUCCGUGCCAGCAGCCGCGGUAAUACGGAGGAUGCGAGCGUUAUCCGGAUUUAUUGGGUUUAAAGGGUGCGCAGGCGGUCUGUUAAGUCAGCGGUCAAAGCCCCGGGGCUCAACCCCGGCCCGCCGUUGAAACUGGCAGUCUCCAGUUGGAGAGAAGUAUGCGGGAAUGCGGGGUGUAGCGGUGAAAUGCAUAGAUAUCGCGCAGAACUCCGAUUGCGAAGGCAGCAUGCCGGCUCCACACUGACGCUGAGGCACGAAAGCGUGGGUAUCGAACAGGAUUAGAUACCCUGGUAGUCCACGCAGUAAACGAUGAAUGCUGGCUGUCCGGGGGGAUUGACCCCUGGGUGGCGAAGCGAAAGCGAUAAGCAUUCCACCUGGGGAGUACGCCGGCAACGGUGAAACUCAAAGGAAUUGACGGGGGCCCGCACAAGCGGAGGAACAUGUGGUUUAAUUCGAUGAUACGCGAGGAACCUUACCCGGGCUCAAACGGGGAGUGACUCAGGCAGAGACGCCUGUUUCCCACGGGACACUCCCCGAGGUGCUGCAUGGUUGUCGUCAGCUCGUGCCGUGAGGUGUCGGCUUAAGUGCCAUAACGAGCGCAACCCCCGCGUGCAGUUGCUAACAGAUAACACUGAGGACUCUGCACGGACUGCCGGCGCAAGCCGCGAGGAAGGCGGGGAUGACGUCAAAUCAGCACGGCCCUUACGUCCGGGGCGACACACGUGUUACAAUGGGUGGUACAGCGGGAAGCCAGGCGGCGACGCCGAGCGGAACCCGAAAUCCACUCUCAGUUCGGAUCGGAGUCUGCAACCCGACUCUGUGAAGCUGGAUUCGCUAGUAAUCGCGCAUCAGCCAUGGCGCGGUGAAUACGUUCCCGGGCCUUGCACACACCGCCCGUCA